UUGUACAUUGAACGGUAGCUA
Molecule: microRNA, 21 nt
Filed under: Drosophila virilis
Lineage: Eukaryota; Metazoa; Arthropoda; Insecta; Diptera; Drosophilidae
Description: dvi-miR-9692-5p
Source: miRBase by way of RNAcentral